This 497-nucleotide ribosomal RNA is filed under the name uncultured bacterium. RNAcentral describes it as "partial 16S ribosomal RNA". It matches the Rfam family "Bacterial small subunit ribosomal RNA", at positions 28 to 507 of the family's 1533-position model. The record is from RNAcentral.
GACGAACGCUGGCGGCGUGCCUAAUACAUGCAAGUAGAACGCUGAAGGAAGGAGCUUGCUCUUUCUGGCUGAGUUGCGAACGGGUGAGUAACGCGUAGGUAACCUGCCUGGUAGCGGGGGAUAACUAUUGGAAACGAUAGCUAAUACCGCAUAAAAUUGAUUAUUGCAUGAUAGUCAAUUAAAAGGUGCAACUGCACCACUACCAGAUGGACCUGCGUUGUAUUAGCUAGUUGGUGGGGUAACGGCUCACCAAGGCGACGAUACAUAGCCGACCUGAGAGGGUGAUCGGCCACACUGGGACUGAGACACGGCCCAGACUCCUACGGGAGGCAGCAGUAGGGAAUCUUCGGCAAUAGACGGAAGUCUGACCGAGCAACGCCGCGUGAGUGAAGAAGGUUUUCGGAUCGUAAAGCUCUGUUGUAAGAGAAGAACGAGUGUGAGAGUGGAAAGUUCACACUGUGACGGUAUCUUACCAGAAAGGGACGGCUAACUACGUG